AUGACGCUGAUCAAUUAGUGCCAUGAUUUUCUAUUAGCAUUUUUGGUCCGACUUAGGUUAGAAAAUACUUCACUAUUGACAUUACUAUCAAUAGGAGAGCACGAACAUCAUUACUUUAAUCCAGAUUCGUGCAAAUUGGGCCGAAAACGCUAUAUGCUUCAUAGUAAAGAUGCCCAUUUCAGUGUAUAUAUAGUUCAGUGAUGGUACACUUAAUUUUAUGUUAUUGUAUAUUGAAAUCAUGACAAAUCAAGAAAAGAGAUGAUGGCGUCUGCCAAUCAGUAAUACUGUUUUUUCAAUUUGUAGACUUCUCAGUUAUUUCAAGAAUUCAAGAAUACUAAUCAUGAAGAAUUUUAUUUUUUUAUACAAGAAUGAUAUCUGAUAGAUUUGAUUAGCUUUUGGAAAAGACAAAAUCUUAUCUAUCUAAAAUAUAGCAGGAGAUAUUCAUUUCCAUCAAAAUUGAAACUGACUGCCACUCUGGGAUAUCUUGUCCCCAAAGAUAAUGUAUAGUCAAAGAAGUGAUCUUUUUUUAUUGUUACUUUUUUUAUUGGUUACUCAAUAGUAAUAAGAUUAACCCUGAGAUAUGCGAUUAUAAAAGCUCUACAGCCAAUAUAUUUACCACCCAAGAGACAAGAGAGGAUUGACGUAAUGUAGUUGAUUUUAUGAGAAGUAGAAUUUCCCUAAUUGGUGUAAGAAUCUAGACUCCAAAAAACUCAAGCCGUCUCUUCUUCAAUAGCAAGAAAUUUUUUUCAAUUGUUCUCAUGGCAAUCUGCGAUACAGAUUAUGUUUUCAAAAAGAUGGACUAUGGUAUGUAUUAGUCAGCAUAAAUAGUGAUAUUUUUAGUAACUAUCCGAACUGGUUUAUAAAUAAAACUAUUAACAAAGAAAGGCCAAUGAGAGCAAAAUUGCAGUCAAUAAGCGUAUACAUUCAUAUUUUCUCAAUACAUAUACAUUCUUCUCAAUACAUAUAAUACAUUAAGAUCUUAACAAGAACACAGGACUAACAAACACAUUUACAAAUACAUUUACAA
Molecule: long non-coding RNA, 1027 nt
Organism: Atta colombica
Lineage: Eukaryota; Metazoa; Arthropoda; Insecta; Hymenoptera; Formicidae
Exons: 3
Source: RefSeq, a predicted model, not a curated record